CGUCUCCUGCAGUGUUCGAUACUGGCCAGGAUACUUUCGACCCUAAAUCUUUACCUCGGGGUCGUGUUCUGUCGGCCACUUGUGUGCAGUGCCACUGAGGUGGUGUGCCUGUUGUGGUCACGGCUGACCCCACCUGUUGCUCCGGUUCGAGAGCGACGGCCGGUAACGGCACCCGCGGGAGACGC
This 185-nucleotide non-coding RNA is filed under the name Woeseia sp. RNAcentral describes it as "6S RNA". It matches the Rfam family "6S / SsrS RNA". From Rfam's summary of the family: E. coli 6S RNA was the first non coding RNA to be sequenced, but its function was unknown until recently. It consists of 184 nucleotides that fold into an extended hairpin structure with a large single-stranded internal bulge. Lineage: Bacteria; Pseudomonadati; Pseudomonadota; Gammaproteobacteria; Woeseiales; Woeseiaceae. The record is from RNAcentral.